RNAcentral lists this ribosomal RNA (449 nucleotides) under uncultured bacterium. RNAcentral's name for it is "partial 16S ribosomal RNA". It matches the Rfam family "Bacterial small subunit ribosomal RNA", at positions 29 to 523 of the family's 1533-position model. The record is from RNAcentral.
AACGAACGCUGGCGGCAGGCUUAACACAUGCAAGUCGAACGCAUCCUUCGGGGUGAGUGGCAGACGGGUGAGUAACGCGUGGGAAUCUACCCUGAUCUGCGGGAUAGCUCCGGGAAACUGGAAUUAAUACCGCAUAUGUCCUGAGGGACAAAGAUUCAUCGGUUCAGGAUGAGCCCGCGUCCGAUUAGCUAGCUGGUGGGGUAAAGGCAUACCAAGGCGACGAUCGGUAGCUAGUCUAAGAGAAUGAUCAGCCACAUUGGGACUGAGACACGGCACAAACUACUACGGGAGGCAGCAGUGGGGAAUAUUGGACAAGGGGCGCAAGCCUGGUCCAGCCAUGCCGCGUGAGUGAUGAAGGUCUUAGGAUGGUAAAGCUCUUUCACCGGGGACGAUAAUGACGGUACCCGGAGAAGAAGCCCCGGCUAACUUCGUGCCAGCCGCCGCAGUAA